GGGGCUGUCAAUAUUCAUAGGUGCUAGGG
This 29-nucleotide non-coding RNA is filed under the name Mus musculus (house mouse). Lineage: Eukaryota; Metazoa; Chordata; Mammalia; Rodentia; Muridae. The record is from RNAcentral.